This 490-nucleotide ribosomal RNA is filed under the name uncultured bacterium. RNAcentral describes it as "partial 16S ribosomal RNA". It matches the Rfam family "Bacterial small subunit ribosomal RNA", at positions 30 to 507 of the family's 1533-position model. The record is from RNAcentral.
AUUGAACGCUGGCGGCAGGCCUAACACAUGCAAGUCGAACGGUAACAGGAAGAAGCUUGCUUCUUUGCUGACGAGUGGCGGACGGGUGAGUAAUGUCUGGGAAACUGCCUGAUGGAGGGGGAUAACUACUGGAAACGGUAGCUAAUACCGCAUAACGUCGCAAGACCAAAGAGGGGGACCUUCGGGCCUCUUGCCAUCGGAUGUGCCCAGAUGGGAUUAGCUAGUAGGUGGGGUAACGGCUCACCUAGGCGACGAUCCCUAGCUGGUCUGAGAGGAUGACCAGCGACACUGGAACUGAGACACGGUCCAGACUCCUACGGGAGGCAGCAGUGGGGAAUAUUGCACAAUGGGCGCAAGCCUGAUGCAGCCAUGCCGAGUGUAUGAAGAAGGCCUUCGGGUUGUAAAGUACUUUCAGCGGGGAGGAAGGGAGUAAAGUUAAUACCUUUGCUCAUUGACGUUAACCGCAGAAGAAGCACCGGCUAACUCCGUG